UGGGGAAUAUUGCACAAUGGGGGAAACCCUGAUGCAGCGACGCCGCGUGGAGGAAGAAGGUCUUCGGAUUGUAAACUCCUGUUGUUGAGGAAGAUAAUGACGGUACUCAACAAGGAAGUGACGGCUAACUACGUGCCAGCAGCCGCGGUAAAACGUAGGUCACAAGCGUUGUCCGGAAUUACUGGGUGUAAAGGGAGCGCAGGCGGGCGAUCAAGUUGGAAGUGAAAUCCAUGGGCUCAACCCAUGAACUGCUUUCAAAACUGAUUGUCUUGAGUAGUGCAGAGGUAGGCGGAAUUCCCGGUGUAGCGGUGGAAUGCGUAGAUAUCGGGAGGAACACCAGUGGCGAAGGCGGCCUACUGGGCACCAACUGACGCUGAGGCUCGAAAGUGUGGGUAGCAAACAGGAUUAGAUACCCUGGUAGUCCACACCGUAAACGAUGAUUACUAGGUGUUGGAGGAUUGACCCCUUCAGUGCCGCAGUUAACACAAUAAGUAAUCCACCUGGGGAGUACGACCGCAAGGUUGAAACUCAAAGGAAUUGACGGGGGCCCGCACAAGCAGUGGAGUAUGUGGUUUAAUUCGACGCAACGCGAAGAACCUUACCAAGUCUUGACAUCCUGCGACGAUGCUAGAAAUAGUAUUUUCCUUCGGGACGCAGAGACAGGUGGUGCAUGGUUGUCGUCAGCUCGUGUCGUGAGAUGUUGGGUUAAGUCCCGCAACGAGCGCAACCCUUAUGGUCAGUUACUACGCAAGAGGACUCUGGCGAGACUGCCGUUGACAAAACGGAGGAAGGUGGGGAUGACGUCAAAUCAUCAUGCCCUUUAUGACCUGGGCUACACACGUACUACAAUGGCGUUUAACAAAGAGAAGCAAGACCGCGAGGUGGAGCAAAACUCAAAAACAACGUCUCAGUUCAGAUUGCAGGCUGCAACUCGCCUGCAUGAAGUCGGAAUUGCUAGUAAUCGCGGAUCAGCAUGCCGCGGUGAAUACGUUCCC
This 995-nucleotide ribosomal RNA is filed under the name uncultured bacterium. RNAcentral's name for it is "bacterial SSU rRNA". It matches the Rfam family "Bacterial small subunit ribosomal RNA", at positions 355 to 1375 of the family's 1533-position model. The record is from RNAcentral.